RNAcentral lists this ribosomal RNA (1518 nucleotides) under Triticum aestivum (bread wheat). RNAcentral describes it as "partial small subunit ribosomal RNA". The record is from RNAcentral. Lineage: Eukaryota; Viridiplantae; Streptophyta; Magnoliopsida; Poales; Poaceae.
AUGGCGGCCACCCAAACUGAAAUUCUUGUGUUGGAUUUGACAGCCUCAAGUUUCUCCACAUUUCAGGUCCCACAAGGGUUGGUUAUUGGUUACAAACGAACCAUGUUGUCACGGGGAUAUGAUAAUUCUGGUGUGUAUCUCAUUCAUUUGAACGGGCUUCAGCUUUGCAUCUGGCUACGCACAGGAGACAACUGGUUGCUGGUGGAUACCAUUUGCUUGCGUGAGAUGUAUGCUAAAUUGAUGAUGCCUGAUCUUACAAAUUGGGUGUGGAUAAAUCAGGUGGGGGUAAAUGCUGAGUUUGUUUUCUUGAGGAUGGGUCGAUGCCUAGUCUAUGUGGGUAUCAAGUGCAGGAAGUUGUGUAAAGUCUAUGAGAUGACAAGCGAGGAUCGAUGGUUGGGUCGUGUCCAUCCUUGGAUGAUGAUUUGGCCUCCCACAUUCCCUGCGCUCAAGGAUGGUCCUGCAAGAUGUCUUUUCACUUGUUUUGAUCUUGUCACUGUUAAUUAUCGCCAUCCUUAUUAUUGGUCUGCUUUGCUUGGAACAGCGAUGCCAUGUGAAGACGGGGAAGGCCUUGGAUCAAAGAAGAGCGAACUGCGGCUGGUGGUGCGUGUGUUGUCCAUUGCAAAACCUGUGCUCGACUCCGUUAGCAACGUGCCUGUGAUGCUGACGUGGAUGAGUCCAUCUCAUCAUGAUUCGGUAAAGAGACUACUCAACUCAAUUAACAGAUGUUUCCACAACAUGAUUUGGGAAGAAUCCACAGUACCAGAGCAAACAGAGCCUGAAACCUGGAGAGAACUGUUAUUAGGAGAUUCAACUCUUUGCAGUUGCUCCCUCCACAUAUCACACUUAUCAUUCCUAGUCUCCAACGGUUGCCGAAAUCCUCAUAGAAGAGUUCAAAGACCAGCUUCUCGUCAGGAUUUUCCACCACACCAUCGGCCGUAUGUAAUUGGAGCAGAGCACCCCUGCUUCAAGACAAGAUUCUUUGAGAAUGAAGCUCAUCUCUGGAGAGUGGAGAAAGAGGCUUGUUUGACAAUCCAUAUAUGCAGCAGCAGAAGCUCCAUCCAUAUAAAGAGGGGCAUCGUGCAGCUCAACGAUCCUCAUCACAGGCAAGAGAGAGGAAGAAGCACAAGUCCAGAAGCAAUGGAGGGGAGGAAGAAGGAGAGAGUGAUGGCCGGCGCCGUCUUUCUGCUCGUCAUCCUGCUGUCGGCCCAGCGGCUGCCGGUCGGGGUUGCCGACCCCAUGUCGCCGUUCUGCCAGUGCUACCUGGGCUGCUUUGGGUUUGACCCAGAGUGCAGUGGCGAAGGGUGGCAGAGGUGCCAUGAUUACUGCUGCGCCAUAGCGUGCCGCUUCCCUGGGGACGCCGACUUCGACAGUGUACUACUUCCUACUACUACUGCUGAUGACGCUGCGGCCAAUGCCAACUACUCGAGCUGCCGCCACGGCGAAGCACGGCUAGACUCACUGCGGAGGCUGCACGGAAGCCGUCGUGUGAUGAUGAUCAGAGUCUUUGAUGUGUUGUGA